Molecule: long non-coding RNA, 2644 nt
Filed under: Nicotiana benthamiana
Lineage: Eukaryota; Viridiplantae; Streptophyta; Magnoliopsida; Solanales; Solanaceae
Description: long non-coding RNA (NBEN_LNC022925)
Source: RNAcentral
CCCUAAAAAACCAUUGCUACAAAUUUUAGUUUCAAAUUUUGAAUUUCAAAUCCAAAUUCUAGAUCUAGUUCUUCCAAAAACCAAAAAAAAAUAAUAGAAAAAUUAUUGAAAUAAAAAAAUACUGUUCUAUUCAAUUUAUUAGGUUAAUUUCAAGUUUUAAUGGUUGAUUUGCAUUUCUUAGCUCAAUUUCUGGUAGUCGAAGUUCAGAAGAUUUCCUGGUUUGAUUUCGAGUGGAUUUGGGUUCAAUUAAGGCUAUUUUAGGCUGGUUUUAUUAGCUGUUCAGUUCUGAGUCUGUUUUGGGUUUCUUCAAGUUUAUUUGGUUUACUAUUGGUACUGUCCUUCUCUAAACUCAAAUCUGGAUCGUUGAUUCUGUUUAUGGGCUGUUUGGACCAUCUACCUGCUAUUGCUGACCUCUCUAUUCGCUUUUAUUAUUUCAUACUUUAGGUACACAUCCCAAAACUACCUUGAUGUAGCUGUUGAAACAGAAAUGAAAUUAGCAUGUUGAUAUUCCCUGCUUCAUGAUAUGUGCUCGUUUCAAUGAUAUAUGUCAAUAGUUAGAUAUAUGUUGGCUAAUGUGUGUUUGUCUGAUAUAGUGUAGGCUUGAUUUGUAAUAAUAUGAACUCUAAACUGUAUUCGACUGUUGAAUUUGAAUUUGAGUUUGUUCAUUCUAAAAUAGUAGCAUAGUUUGAUUCCCUAUGGUAAUUGCUUGCUAAAACUGGAAGUUGAAUACAAACAACAGUAUAUGGUGUCCUAUUCAUGAUUAAUCUGGGCCUGAUAAACAGGCUUCAGUAGUUUGGUCCUCGAAUCAAAGUAGGCGUUUCAGCUUGGGGACUCAAUAUAGUUGUUAGUUGUUAUGACAUUAAUCCCUUAAAGUCUAUAAGCAUUAUACAGAAUAAAAUUGGAUUGUUCCUACAUCUAUCAACAGCUUUGAUACUUAGUAAUUGCGUUUCAAUUGGUUAAAAGUUGGCGUUUGAAGCAUAAAAAUCUAACUGGAAAUUGUAAUACGUUCUAAUUUGGCAGUCCAAUGUUUCAUUCAAAGUCAGUAAUCACACCUUGCAUAAUCUAGUUUAUUGUGGAUAUCAAUAGGUCCUUGAGUUUAAAUUGUCACAAAAUCAGUGAUUUAAUGAACAAAUGAUCGCCUAAUAUCCCUCAUUUAUUAUCAUAUUGUUUCAAAUCAUGUGGAACAAUUCUUUAGACUUGUGUUGCUUUGUGUGUGUUAUUGAAAUUAGAACCCCAUUGGGAAUUAGACGUCAAACUGAGAUCUGAGGUCUCGAGACGGUUUGGGCCAAAUAGGUGUUGGGCCAAUCAUGAGCCCAUAACACAUGACCUGCCCGUUUACUAGUGCUGGGGCCCAAGUUUCGAGUAGUUCCCAUUAUAACGUUGCUUCAAAUUCCCAUUCCAUGGGCUGGCACUGAAGCCCACCUUGCUAAAGCCAAUUCCUGGCUGCUUCUACUAAUUUUUAUGUUAGCAACACCAUUUAACUAAGGCAUUUUCUUUAUUAUUAGAGGCGAUACAUGAUAGAAAAAUCAUAGUCCGUAAGUUUGUCUUUAAAAUAAAUAAGGUGCAUCGUGCCGAACAAAAUUGAUAAAUACGUGGCCCUAUUUAAUUAUGUCUUUAAAAUUCUUAGAAUUCGGGACGGGCCGUUUAGCGAAUUUUACAGCUUUCCCCGAAGAUAAUAACGCGUUAGUUGCUUUAGGCGCGUAUUUUAAUAAAAUUACCUUCUUAAAUUUGGGUGUGCAUUUAUGUGACCUAAAUCCAAAUUCAAACGAAGUCGAAAUGUGUCAAAAACUACGGGCGCAUUUAUGUGACGUGGUUCGAGAUAUGUUUUCAGGACGUUGCAAUUCUCUUUGAAAAUAAUAAAUGAAAGCGGUUCAAAGCUAAAAAAUAUAUAAGUUGAAACAUGUUUUAAAAUCAAAUAAUUAAGCAAAAUAUGACAGUUGAGCGACCGUGCUUGAACCACGGAAUCCGAUAAUGCCUAACACCUUCUUUCGGGUUAACAGAAUUUCUUACCCAGAUUUUUGGAUCGCGGACUGUUAAAGAGAGUUUAUAAUUUCCUCAAUUUGGGAUUCAACCGGUGACUUGGGAAAACAUAAAUCUCCCAAGUGGCGACUCUGAUUUAUUAAUAAACAAAUUCAGUUCCGAUUGUCCUUUAAUUGGAAAAACUCCUUUAUACUCCUUUCAGGGGUGUAGGUAAAAAGGAGGUGUGACAGAUAAGAUUGACUCCCCCAGGUCCCAGCAGCAGAGCAGCAUGUCAUAGGGAACACGUCUGAGGUUCCCCACUUAGGACCCCAUGCAGACAGACGGGCCAUAGGAAGUUUCUAUAUCCUUUUCCUUUUAUUUUUGGUGCUUAUUUUUCUUAGUUGGCAUUGAGGACAAUGUUAACUUUCAUUUGACGGGGUAGGCCCCACUUUUAUUGAUUUGGAUGAAUGUAUAUAUUCGACAGGUUUCAUAUUUCUUUCUUUUUAUCUUUGGUAUGUAUAUAAUUUUAUUAAUUAUAUUUUUUGCACUUUUCACUUUGGGUCUGUAUAUAAAAGUUAUGUUACAUUAUAUAUGUUCAUCCCCGUAUUGUAUAUUCGAUGAAUCCCCUCUUGUAUAUAUUCAUUCUAAUUUCCACAGUUUUCUUUUCCAUAGCUUCUUAUUUAUG